CACAAGAAAAAAAUAAACAACCAUGGACAGAUUAAUUAAACUUUUCUAAAUUUCAUCAUAUUCAUGUCUUUAACAGAGAAAGUCCAUGAAUUCAUCACUGAUACAGGAUGUACAGACUUAAGCUUUUAUUUUGAAGUCUAUAACUUUCCUACUGAGUAACGUCAGCUGUCUGUCAGUCUGCAGACAACACCACGGGCAUUGAUGUGUCUCAGAAGCAGCUCCAUCUCCUCCCAGCCACAACCAAGUGUGGUGGUGCUGCUCCUCCCUCCUGCUCCUGAGAAAACUUCCCUUCUUAUUAGUCAAGCUUGAGGAAACAUGAAAAAAUGCACCAUUUUACAAUUAAAUUCUACCUGCUGCAAAUAGGACAUCAGGAUUCCUUUUAAAGGCCAUCCAUCUGCAUUUGGGAUGCUCCCAUCUGUCUCUGGGAGCAGUAUUAUUGUUGCAAUAAGUAAAAGUACCACAACAUAAAUAACACGCUUGUAAAUCCUAC
Molecule: long non-coding RNA, 490 nt
Filed under: Cyanistes caeruleus (blue tit)
Lineage: Eukaryota; Metazoa; Chordata; Aves; Passeriformes; Paridae
Description: lncRNA (ENSCCEG00000023689.1)
Source: RNAcentral